UGGUAGUNCACGCCGUAAACGAUGAGUGCUAGGUGUUAGACCCUUUCCGGGGUUUAGUGCCGCAGCUAACGCAUUAAGCACUCCGCCUGGGGAGUACGACCGCAAGGUUGAAACUCAAAGGAAUUGACGGGGGCCCGCACAAGCGGUGGAGCAUGUGGUUUAAUUCGAAGCAACGCGAAGAACCUUACCAGGUCUUGACAUCCCUCUGACCGCUCUAGAGAUAGAGUUUUCCUUCGGGACAGAGGUGACAGGUGGUGCAUGGUUGUCGUCAGCUCGUGUCGUGAGAUGUUGGGUUAAGUNNNNNNNCGAGCGCAACCCCUAUUGUUAGUUGCCAUCAUUUAGUUGGGCACUCUAGCGAGACUGCCGGUAAUAAACCGGAGGAAGGUGGGGAUGACGUCAAAUCAUCAUGCCCCUUAUGACCUGGGCUACACUCGUGCUACAAUGGCUGGUACAACGAGUCGCAAGCCGGUGACGGCAAGCUAAUCUCUUAAAGCCAGUCUCAGUUCGGAUUGUAGGCUGCAACUCGC
This 527-nucleotide ribosomal RNA is filed under the name uncultured bacterium. Its description in RNAcentral is "bacterial SSU rRNA". It matches the Rfam family "Bacterial small subunit ribosomal RNA", at positions 788 to 1315 of the family's 1533-position model. The record is from RNAcentral.